CCCAAGGCAACGCGGGAUGCAAGGCACGAGCUUCGAUCGAUAUUUAGGCAACCCGAUCGGAAGGAGUGCGUUCGCGAGAACUACGUUGCAGCGUGCGUCUUAUGCCUAGGCCAAUCGACUGACACGCCGCGCGGUUUCGUCCCCACGCAUGCCCUCCGUCCUGCAUCGUCGUGCCUUUCGACGGUCUCGUUUCCGAACGAUUUCGCGCCUCCCGAUCGAACGUUGGGAAGUUACGGGGACUACGUUGCAGCGUGCGUCUUAUGCCUAGGCCAAUCGACCGACACGCCGCGCGGUUUCGUCCCCACGCAUGCCCUCCGUCUUGCAUCGUUGUGCCACACGACGGU
RNAcentral lists this long non-coding RNA (344 nucleotides) under Olea europaea (common olive). RNAcentral's name for it is "long non-coding RNA (OEUR_LNC007902)". The record is from RNAcentral. Lineage: Eukaryota; Viridiplantae; Streptophyta; Magnoliopsida; Lamiales; Oleaceae.